RNAcentral lists this ribosomal RNA (253 nucleotides) under uncultured bacterium. Its description in RNAcentral is "partial 16S ribosomal RNA". It matches the Rfam family "Bacterial small subunit ribosomal RNA", at positions 524 to 776 of the family's 1533-position model. The record is from RNAcentral.
UACAGAGGUCCCAAGCGUUGUUCGGAUUCCCUGGGCGUAAAGGGUGCGUAGGUGGUGAGGUAAGUCGGCUGUGAAAUCUCCGAGCUCAACUCGGAAAUGGCAUUGGAAACUACCUUGCUCGAGGGUUGGAGGGGGGACUGGAAUGCUUGGUGUAGCAGUGAAAUGCGUAGAUAUCAAGCGGAACACCAGUGGCGAAGGCGAGUCCCUGGACAACUCCUGACACUGAGGCACGAAAGCUAGGGGAGCAAACAGG